GACGAACGCUGGCGGCAUGCCUAAUACAUGCAAGUCGAGCGAACAGAUGAAGUGCUUGCACUUCUGACGUUAGCGGCGAACGGGUGAGUAACACGUAAGGAAUCUACCUAUAAGCGGGGGAUAACAUUCGGAAACGGGUGCUAAUACCGCAUAAUAUCUUCUUCCGCAUGGAAGAAGAUUGAAAGACGGCUCUGCUGUCACUUAUAGAUGACCUUGCGGUGCAUUAGUUAGUUGGUGGGGUAACGGCCUACCAAGACGAAGAUCCAUAGCCGAGCUGAGAGGGUGAGCGGCCACAUUGGGACUGAGACACGGCCCAAACCCCUACGGGAGGCAGCAGUAGGGAAUCGUCCGCAAUGGGCGAAAGCCUGGCGGAGCAAUGCCGCGUGAGUGAAGAAGGCCUUCGGGUCGUAAAACUCUGUUAUAAGAGAAGAACAAAUUGUAGAGUAACUGCUACAGUCUUGACGGUAUUUUAUCAGAAAGCCACGGCUAACUACGUGCCAGCAGCCGCAGUAA
This 513-nucleotide ribosomal RNA is filed under the name uncultured bacterium. Its description in RNAcentral is "partial 16S ribosomal RNA". It matches the Rfam family "Bacterial small subunit ribosomal RNA", at positions 28 to 523 of the family's 1533-position model. The record is from RNAcentral.